Long non-coding RNA from Sebastes umbrosus (honeycomb rockfish), 2080 nucleotides. RefSeq lists it as uncharacterized. NCBI's taxonomy places the organism in Eukaryota, Metazoa, Chordata, Actinopteri, Perciformes, Sebastidae. The record is from RefSeq and is a predicted model, not a curated record. The transcript is spliced from 2 exons.
UGAAACCAUCUCAAUGGCAGCUCUAAAUCUCUGCUAGUUAGUUUCUGUUUUUAUUCCCCCCCUUGUACACACAGCAUACCGCUAUCGAGGUUUGAAAUUCUGGUAUCAUCUACUGCUGUGCUGAGUGCAUUUAGUGAAUACCUGGUGAACAUAACCACCGUCAAGAGUAGUUUUCAUUCACAGGAGUUAGUAGCUCAAUGCAGCACAUAAUGCAGAGCUUUGGUGUACCAGUAUAGAAACAUGUGGGUGGAAGCUUCUUCCAGGAGGAGCGCUUUACACCACAUCCUUCUCAGAUGUGAAAGAUAAACAGCCUUAGUAACUUGUGUGGUACAUCCUCUCUCUCUCUCUCUCUUUAGUGCUCUCCGUAGGGAGGAUCAUCCGUCAUCUGCCUGAAGAGCUGGGUGAGAAUCCAAUCGUCAGCGCGCAUCACUCACCCAGCAGCGACAGCCAACACUGACUGGCAUGUGCUGUAACCUAUUCUGUUAUAAUCAUGCACACCAUGCCUUAAGGAGGAAAACGAUGAGCAGGAUUUACUUCAAAUGGUGACGGAAGCAGCAGGGCAAAACUAGCGCAGUAUUCACCACAUAUACCAAAGAGCAGCUGCAACUCUAUGGACAAUUAUUCUCAACCAGUGACACUCAUCCAGAAUCAUUUAAAUGGCCUUCAAGAGCAACUAAACAUGAGUGGCAGCGAUUUAAAAGAGCAAUUCAAUUUAGUGUGAGCCACUCAAGUGAUUAGAUUCUAUUACAGCGUGCAAACACAAGGGCACUGCUGGCCUUAUAAAGUGACCUAGUGUCCCGUAAAGCCCAGGCGUGGCCGUGCUCAGCACCGGAUUGCUCUUAAUGGGAUUUCACAACAUUAACAUUGUACUGAGUCAGCAUCAGUCACACUGGUGGCUACACAGCCCCUCUGCUGAAACAGCCUCGUCUCUCACUGCGUUUAGACACAAUAUGACUGUAUACACACAGUGUGGUAGGGGUGGACAAUUAUCAGACCUGCUUCACUGUAGUGGAAUCCCUCCAGGAGAUAACUAUAGUAUCCUCUGACAAGCACAGCAUAGAAUAUUUAUAUGUGGAGGAAAAACAUCUCCUGACAUGAUGCAGCAGAAAUUCAUGAGGACAGCAGCUCUUGUUUGGAAAUAGAGUUAAAUGUCAUUCUGUUGUGGUGGUUUCUCUGGACACUACCCUUUCUGUAAAGCAUAUAUAUUAAAACAAGUGACCAUUUUAGGGCGUCUCAUGCUCAGCUCUUCGUCAUCAGUCUAAUGCUGCAUUGACGUCAUAUGAGGCAGACCAUAAAUGUGAGCAGCCAAGUGGGAAAGACCUUUCAUGUGAACCUCUAAGUAGGAGUAGAGCUGAAGCAAUUAUUCGAUUGAUCGCUUAGUAAAUGGACAGAAAAUAAGCGACUAUUUUAAUAACCAAUUAAGGAAAGAAAAGAAGAUAUGUGCUGCCUUCAUUAGGGGGUAACAUCAUAUUAGCCAGAUCAGACUCUGUGAUCAAAAAACAUAGGGAUGCACGGUAUAUAUCAGGCCCAAUAAAUCAGCGGCCAAUGAUGGGAUAUUUAUAUUAUUAUGUAUUAUUCCGAUAAAUAAAUUAUAGCCACUAAAUUAUCGUCUGAUAAUACGAAGCCAAAUUGAUUUUUAUUGACUUAAGAGCAGCAUCUAUACACUCUGAUACAGCAGGUGGCGGUAUGCAUUUUGAAUGGGGGGGUAGUGCGUUUGGGCCGUGGCUGCGGUGGCUGCAGGGGGUGCCGAAAAUGUAACCAGCAAUCCAGAGCCGUAAAACCCAGCCGUGAGGGAACAAAGGACCAGUUAAUGGGCCAUUAAAGUGACUCUCCCAGACCUACACACAACCCUGCGGAGAAUUGCCUUAUCUCUUGUGAAUGCAGCCUUAAAGUUGGUUUGUGACGCGCCAAUAAACACCAAAGAACAAGAACAAGAACAGCUCGCUGACUAGAGAGACAAAUGUUGUCGCUGGUGUGGAUGUUUUUCAGUUUCAGAGGAAGACAACAUGAUCGCAGUUUGCAAUACAAGUUUUAAAUGUGCUUUAAUAGAAAAAAUAAAUGAACAUUUGAAGAUACAAAA